AGACUUGUAGCUCAGUAGGUUAGAGCGUCACUCUAAUAAGGUGAAGGUCCCAGGUUCGGGUCCUGGUAAGUCUA
Non-coding RNA from Alosa alosa (allis shad), 74 nucleotides. The record is from the annotation of a RefSeq genome assembly. Lineage: Eukaryota; Metazoa; Chordata; Actinopteri; Clupeiformes; Clupeidae.